CCUACAGGUAACUGUCCCCUACAGGUAACUGUCCCCUACAGGUAACUGUCCUCCACAGGUAACUGUCCUCCACAGGUCCCCUACAGGUAACUGUCCCCUACAGGUAAGUGUCCUCCACAGGUAGCUGGAUGUCUGCAGCUGUUUUCUGAUUGGUUCUACCUCCAGGUCAACAGAUCCUCGUCGUCCUUUUAGAUUCUUUAAUAAAGUUCAAACCGUUCUGCUGUGAAUUCUGAUUUAUUUAAAGUUUGUCCAGAAACAAAACAAAGAAGUGAAACCUGAGAAGAACCAACGGAACGUUUCUAACAUUGUUCUGAUCUGUUGGCAGGAGGAGGAACUGAAACUGGCCCAGAGACCAGGUGAGUUUCACCUUAUUACCCAAAACUUCUGCAGAUCUGCAUCAUUUAUUGAGAAGCUGAACCAAAGAAUUCAGUGUUUAAUGGAGAACAGCAGAGCUUCAGAUGAUCAAGAACCAAAACUUCAGUCUCAGGAUGAUCAGGAACC
Amphiprion ocellaris (clown anemonefish) is the source of this 501-nucleotide long non-coding RNA. NCBI's taxonomy places the organism in Eukaryota, Metazoa, Chordata, Actinopteri, Pomacentridae. The record is from Ensembl.